Molecule: ribosomal RNA, 275 nt
Filed under: uncultured bacterium
Lineage: Bacteria
Description: partial 16S ribosomal RNA
Rfam family: Bacterial small subunit ribosomal RNA
Source: RNAcentral
AUACGGAGGGUGCAAGCGUCAUCCGGAAUUAUUGGGUUUAAAGGGUCCGUAGGCGGCUAGAUAAGUCAGUGGUGAAAUUCUCUCGCUCAACGAGAGACCUGCCAUUGAUACUGUCUUGGCUAGAGUUACAGUGAGGUGAGUGGAAUGUGUAGUGUAGCGGUGAAAUGCAUAGAUAUUACACAGAACACCGAUUGCGAAGGCAGCUCACUAACUGUAUACUGACGCUGAUGGACGAAAGCGUGGGGAGCAAACAGGAUUAGAAACCCCAGUAGUCC